This 454-nucleotide ribosomal RNA is filed under the name uncultured bacterium. RNAcentral describes it as "partial 16S ribosomal RNA". It matches the Rfam family "Bacterial small subunit ribosomal RNA", at positions 28 to 507 of the family's 1533-position model. The record is from RNAcentral.
GAUGAACGCUGACGGCGUGCUUAACACAUGCAAGUCGACUGGAACUGCGGUUUGGGUGUCGGACGGUCGAGUAACGCGUAGGGGAGUUGCCCCACAGUAAGGUACACCAUAUGUAAGCGAAUGCUAAUAACUGAUGGUAUGAUAUUAGAGAAGCCUAGAAUCAUGAAAGCUAUAGGCGCUGAGAGAGGGCUUUGCGUGCCAUUAGCUCGUUGGAGCGGUAACGGCUCACCAAGGUGAUGAUGGGUAGCCGUCAGGGGAGGGUGAACGGCAACAAGGGGACUGAGACACGGCCCUUACUCCUACGGGAGGCAGAAGGGGGGAAUAUGGGACAAUGGACCAAGCGUGUGAUCCAGCAAUUGUGUGUGGACGAUGAAGUUUUUCGGAAUGUAAAGUGUUUUCAGUUGGGAAGAAAAAAAUGACGAUACCAACAGAAGAAGCGACGGCUAACUACGUG